UACGGAGGGAGCUAGCGUUGUUCGGAAUUACUGGGCGUAAAGCGCGCGUAGGCGGCUUUGUAAGUUAGAGGUGAAAGCCCGGAGCUCAACUCCGGAACUGCCUUUAAAACUGCAUCGCUUGAAUCCAGGAGAGGUGAGUGGAAUUCCGAGUGUAGAGGUGAAAUCGUAGAUAUUCGGAAGAACACCAGUGGCGAAGGCGGCUCACUGGACUGGUAUUGACGCUGAGGUGCGAAAAGCGUGGGGAGCAAACAGGG
Molecule: ribosomal RNA, 254 nt
Filed under: uncultured bacterium
Lineage: Bacteria
Description: partial 16S ribosomal RNA
Rfam family: Bacterial small subunit ribosomal RNA
Source: RNAcentral